GAUGAACGCUGGCGGCGUGCCUAAUACAUGCAAGUCGAGCGAACAGACGAGGAGCUUGCUCCUCUGACGUUAGCGGCGGACGGGUGAGUAACACGGGGAUAACCUACCUAUAAGACUGGGAUAACUUCGGGAAACCGGAGCUAAUACCGGAUAAUAUAUUGAACCGCAUGGUUCAAUAGUGAAAGACGGUUUUGCUGUCACUUAUAGAUGGAUCCGCGCCGCAUUAGCUAGUUGGUAAGGUAACGGCUUACCAAGGCAACGAUGCGUAGCCGACCUGAGAGGGUGAUCGGCCACACUGGAACUGAGACACGGUCCAGACUCCUACAGGGGGCAGCAGUAGGGACUCUUCCGCAAUGGGCGAAAGCCUGACGGAGCAACGCCGCGUGAGUGAUGAAGGUCUUCGGAUCGUAAAACUCUGUUAUUCGGGAAGAACAAAUGUGUAAGUAACUAUGCACGUCUUGACGGUACCUAAUCAGAAAGCCACGGCUAACUACGUG
RNAcentral lists this ribosomal RNA (497 nucleotides) under uncultured bacterium. Its description in RNAcentral is "partial 16S ribosomal RNA". It matches the Rfam family "Bacterial small subunit ribosomal RNA", at positions 28 to 507 of the family's 1533-position model. The record is from RNAcentral.